This is a long non-coding RNA of Tachysurus fulvidraco (yellow catfish), 1767 nucleotides long. RefSeq lists it as uncharacterized. NCBI's taxonomy places the organism in Eukaryota, Metazoa, Chordata, Actinopteri, Siluriformes, Bagridae. The transcript is spliced from 3 exons. The record is from RefSeq and is a predicted model, not a curated record.
AUGUAAGUGAUUCAGUUUUAAUGUCAUAUGGUGGUCCUGUAUAAGGUGCUGUAGUCAUCAGAAAUAACCCCCUUUUCCCCACACGGACCAAUGUUCCUAGAGCUAAACCUUUUUAGUAAGUGUACAACAUACCUUACCUCAUACAUCAUACCUUAUUUUCUUGUCAAUACAAAUGUGUUAAUGACACUUUGAGCACAGUAGUAGUAAACAGGAGUAUAAAUAAAACCACGGUUCUGCCAGUAUGACAUUUGAAAGAGCCUUAAUGCCAGUUUAACCAGUUUAACCAGGGGGCCUCCCACAAGAGCGAGCCCCCCUGCUGAAAAGGUUGCUUCCUUCCUGAAACGUGGAGAGCUAUAACUCACCAGUGCCGGUUAGUGCUACAGGGCAGGUCAUGGCAUGUGGGCAUAGCUGCGGUCUGUGAGCUCUGUAUUGAGACAAGGCCAGUUGAACCAGUCUGUCCGUCCAUUGCUGGGAACCUAGAGAUAACAGUUCUUUUUGUUGCAGUUGUAAAGGAGUGACACCUAAUGCCAAGUUGUGUGGUGAUUAGGGUGAGGGUUUCAUUCAGACAGUUUGAUCAAUUUUGUGAAUGUGUUUGUGCUGGCUUGGGUUGUUUGUGCUGGCUUAAGCUUGUUGUUUUAAACGUGUAACUGAGGCAAGUCUUGCAAAAGGUACAAAGGCUUGUUCUCAUCUUUGCAGCGAUAUAUCUGGCGGCACAACCAGCCGGCGACUUAGUUGGUGAGAAAAACAAGUCGGUGACUGCAGGGAAGCAGGAUGUGUGUCAAGGACUUGAAGUUCAUGAAUAUGCGAACAUGUCAGAGAAUCAAAACAACGCUCAAUUGUUAAUUACAAAUCUCAUCGAUUAUGCUUUUUAGUAAUGCUCCAUUUUUGAUAGUGUCUUUAUGACUCUAGCGGAUGUUCAGUUACAAGGUCCUCAUAGAGAUCUCCACGAAGAACCGUAGCGUUUGACCACACCAUGUGCGGCCCCCUAGGAAUGUAAGCAUCUUGGAGUGCAAGCCACAACAGGUUUAACCCACAUCGCCCAGUCAUCUGUGCCCAUGUCCCAGGAGAACGAAGAGGGAUGACGAAACCAGCCAUAGACGUCCAUGCAUCGUUAAGAAAUGCAAUUAAGAAUGUUUAAUUUCUGUUUUUUUUUCUGAUGUAAGCACAUAAAUCGGACUGUGCAUUUUGGCUCGCGUUAAAGAUCAUCCGUCACAUUUGUUUAGUCACAGAAAGUGCUGUGCGUGCAGAUCUGAGCACACGCUUUCUUGUAACUUAAUAAUUUUGAGCUUUUAAUUACACACAAAUACUGAUUUGAUGGAACCCCCAUGUCACUGCAUGCGUUAUUUGUUAUUGAAAUGGCUCGAGUUAGUUGAGCUCAGCAGUAGGUCAGCGAGGUUUAAUUAUGGGAUGAAUUAUUAUUAGAAUUAAAAUUGCCAAUAUGAGCACAGAUGAACCAUGAUAAACACUUAGUGUUGCUGGUUCAUCUGCUACACCUAUCAUACAGAUCACUUUAGAGAUGUACAGUUACUGCCUAUAGCCCAUCUGUUGCUAUGUACAAUUUGUCAGCCUGCCGUUAGACUGUCCAUCAUCCUACAUGGACAGCAUGACAGCAGCACGGUGUUGUGUGUGGCACAAGGCUUAGGUGUUGUAAGUGUAUACAGUCAUUUAUAGAAAUAAUAAUCAUAGUUCUUUGUUGUGGUUUAGCAAGCAAUGUGUACAGUUUAUUAAAGAAAAUUAUACAUGUACUGUAUAAUAACUUUUGCACUA